RNAcentral lists this long non-coding RNA (426 nucleotides) under Elaeis guineensis (African oil palm). RNAcentral's name for it is "long non-coding RNA (EGUI_LNC025105)". The record is from RNAcentral. Lineage: Eukaryota; Viridiplantae; Streptophyta; Magnoliopsida; Arecales; Arecaceae.
ACCAUAUGUGGGUCGAUGGGCUGCACAUAUCCGCUCAUCAAUCACUGCAUCGUGGUACUUUGAUGACACGUACGUACUUUACUUUUUAUUACAGUACUUUACUUUUCUUUUAGUUAAGGAUUACAGUACUUUUUUUUGGUAGAUAAAGGAUUACAGUACUUUACUUUUUUUUUUGGUACAGAUUACAGUACCUUACUUUGAAGAGAUGUCUUAACUGCUGUUGCCUGUUGGUGACACGUUUGAUGUUUUGACCUAAGAAGGCUAACAGUUAACAUCCGUAUUGGACCAUUUCAGAAAAGUUAUAUGCUGGUGCUGUAGCUGUUCUUCAACAGGCAAUCCUUCUUAAGAAGACAUUAACCCUAUAUGCUGGUUCUUAUAAAAUAUACCUACCAAACUCAAGAUCGAUCCUGACAUUUUUUAGACCUA